GACGAACGCUGGCGGCGUGCCUAAUACAUGCAAGUAGAACGCUGAAGAGAGGAGCUUGCUCUUCUUGGAUGAGUUGCGAACGGGUGAGUAACGCGUAGGUAACCUGCCUGGUAGCGGGGGAUAACUAUUGGAAACGAUAGCUAAUACCGCAUAAAAUUGAUUAUUGCAUGAUAAUUAAUUGAAAGAUGCAAUUGCAUCACUACCAGAUGGACCUGCGUUGUAUUAGCUAGUUGGUGAGGUAACGGCUCACCAAGGCGACGAUACAUAGCCGACCUGAGAGGGUGAUCGGCCACACUGGGACUGAGACACGGCCCAGACUCCUACGGGAGGCAGCAGUAGGGAAUCUUCGGCAAUGGGGGGAACCCUGACCGAGCAACGCCGCGUGAGUGAAGAAGGUUUUCGGAUCGUAAAGCUCUGUUGUAAGAGAAGAACGGGUGUGAGAGUGGAAAGUUCACAC
This 457-nucleotide ribosomal RNA is filed under the name Streptococcus sanguinis. Its description in RNAcentral is "bacterial SSU rRNA". It matches the Rfam family "Bacterial small subunit ribosomal RNA", at positions 28 to 469 of the family's 1533-position model. The record is from RNAcentral. Lineage: Bacteria; Bacillati; Bacillota; Bacilli; Lactobacillales; Streptococcaceae. RNAcentral also lists the same sequence under 1 other name.